UGCAAUAUUCAUUUUUAAAUUCGGAUUUCCUUUUUCUUUGGCAUCAUCACAUAUGUCAUCAUCAAGAAAACUGGAAUAUGAAGAGGAAGAACACCACAAAUGACUUCAGCAGGGGCAUUUAAAGAGGCGGUCAAGAGCGGAGAAUAAGAUACAUCCAUGG
This 160-nucleotide non-coding RNA is filed under the name Fragilariopsis kerguelensis. The record is from RNAcentral. Lineage: Eukaryota; Bacillariophyta; Bacillariophyceae; Bacillariales; Bacillariaceae.